RNAcentral lists this ribosomal RNA (436 nucleotides) under Periclimenes mclellandi. RNAcentral's name for it is "partial 16S ribosomal RNA". It matches the Rfam family "Bacterial large subunit ribosomal RNA", at positions 1927 to 2597 of the family's 2925-position model. The record is from RNAcentral. Lineage: Eukaryota; Metazoa; Arthropoda; Malacostraca; Decapoda; Palaemonidae.
AGGGCCGCGGUAAAUUGACUGUGCGAAGGUAGCAUAAUCAUUAGUCUUUUAAUUGAAGGCUUGUAUGAAUGGUUGGAUGAGAAAUAUUCUGUCUUUAUAUAUUAUAUGAAUUUAACUUUUAAGUGAAAAGGCUUAAAUGUUUUAGUGGGACGAUAAGACCCUAUAAAAUUUAAUACAAUUUAUUUUAAACUUGUUUUUUUACGUGUAUUUGGUUGGGGCGACAGUGAUAUAAAUUUAACUGUUAUUAUAUUAUAAUAAUUGUCAUUAGGUUUUGAUCCUUUAUUAAGGAUUAUAAGAUUAAGUUACUUUAGGGAUAACAGCGUAAUUUUCUUUGAGAGUUCUUAUCGACAAGAGUAGUUGCGACCUCGAUGUUGAAUUAAAGUGUUAGGUGGGUGUAGUAGCUUAUCUAGUUGGUCUGUUCGACCUUUAAAACUUU